AUUAUUUGCAUUACCUGUAUUUACUUCAUAAUUGAACAUUUUGCAUUCAAAUUUAUGUAAUGCAUUAUGCUUGAGAAUAUAUUUCUGCCUGAUUAGCAUAAAUAGUCACUUACCUCAUGAAUUACUAACAAAGUUUAUCUUAAAAUAUAGGUUUUUUUAUUAAGUGGAACGCAAACAUAUGUACAAUAAAUUCUGAUUUUCCGGUGCGGUUAGAGAACAACUAACAUUUGCUUACCGGGAGGAGGAAGCAAAAUAGAGACAAAUGAGGGGUGGAGGUUUCUUUCCCAGGGUCUCCUUUAGAUGGGGGGGGGGGGUGAGCCUGGCGGGGGCGGGAGGAGAAGCCGAGGGGAGGAGGCAGCCCUGGGCUCCUCAUGUAUUGUUUGCAUUAUUUUUUGGGUGCUCUCAACAUGAAAUGUGGGCCCCAUCAUCAGUGGUCUCUCCCUUAGUGACAGCAGGUCAAUAGCAUGGACAGAGUUUGGGGGGUUUGUUGAUUUUAUCUUGAUUUCAUGUGUGUUUUGUUUUUUUUGUUUGUUUGUUUUGUUUUUGGUCUCCUUUUGUCUGCAGCGUUCUUCCCAGGCUGUGUCAUGAAAUACGUGUUUGUUUUACACACAGAGACGUGGAAGAUCCAGCGUUUAUCCCUUCAGUGAUUUCUACUGUGGUGAGUUCAAAACUGACUUUAAAACAAAACAGGAUUGGAACAAGGGACGAGUGCAGGCUGUAACUUCCUGCUCGCUGACGAGAGGACAGAUUCAUGGACGACGGUCCCUUUGCCAUUGUGGGCGUGGCCAGGCUUUGGCAGGCAUUGUUCUGUGCACUACAAACACCAAACGUGCCCAGGGACGCCCUCCCAGCACCGUGUCCAUUGCGACAGAAUGUUCCAGAUCCUAUGGAGAACAGAAAUCGGGCUGAACACCUCUACCACCCACAAUAAAAGUUAAAGGGACAGAAUGGA
Non-coding RNA from Oryctolagus cuniculus (rabbit), 952 nucleotides. The record is from RefSeq and is a predicted model, not a curated record. Lineage: Eukaryota; Metazoa; Chordata; Mammalia; Lagomorpha; Leporidae.